UUCAGCUUCGAGGGUUUCAAGAACAGAGCAGUUCUUGCUCUUAGUGAUUUCACGGGAUUGGAUUGAAGGAACUUCAAGGAAGGAAAAUUGGAUUGAAGGAACUUAGAAGAAUUCAGGAUCCAGUCCAGUAUACAGGACCAGGAAGCCUGGGACUUGGUGGGAACCUGACAAAUCGGAACCUGACGACCGGAACUCCACCACCGGAACUCCACCACGGGAACUCUUUCAGAAGCGAGGGGUCCAUUGGUUAAAAAGAUCCAGGACUAACAUCCACCUCAGCAUACCUUACCAUAAAUGGUCAGCUUCGAAGCCCUCCAAUCAGACUCUGACAAGCCAACAUUCCUAAAUCCUUUCCCUUGCCCUCUGAUCCCUAAAACUUGCUGCAGACCCCAAACUGGGGAGACAGUUUGGGACCCUGUUCUCCUUGCUGUCUGGCUUUGCAAUAAAGCCUUUUUUUUCUCAAGCGC
RNAcentral lists this long non-coding RNA (467 nucleotides) under Homo sapiens (human). RNAcentral's name for it is "HSALNT0098334". Lineage: Eukaryota; Metazoa; Chordata; Mammalia; Primates; Hominidae. The record is from RNAcentral.